CAGUAGCGUAUAUUAAAGUUGUUGCGGUUAAAAAGCUCGUAGUCGGAUUUCAGUUUGCUGAUGCUUAAACCCUCGGUUUUUGCGUUGGCUUACUUCAUGACAGAAACUUCCAUGCCAUUUAUUUGGUGUGUUUUGGGACUGUCUCAUUUACUUUGAGAAAAUUAGAGUGUUCAAAGCAGGUAUAAUUAGCCUGAAUAUUACUCUUGGAAUAAUAAUAUAGGACUCCAGUUCUAGUUUGUUUGGUGAUCUGGGACCGGGAGUAAUGAUUGAUAGGGACGAGUUGGGGUCGAUUCAUACUGCAAAGCGAGAGGUGAAAUUCUUGGACCUUUGUUAUGAUGAACAACUGCGAAAGCAUUUGACUAGGAUGUUCCCGUUGAUCAAGAACGAAAGUUGGGGGAGUCGAAGACGAUCAGAUACCAU
Molecule: ribosomal RNA, 420 nt
Filed under: uncultured eukaryote
Lineage: Eukaryota
Description: bacterial SSU rRNA
Rfam family: Eukaryotic small subunit ribosomal RNA
Source: RNAcentral